GUGGGCGAAGGCCUCCUCUGAGAGAGCCCAGAUCAUCCUCUGAGUUUGGAGGACUGACCGGGUCCUGCCACGAUCAGCCCCUGCUUCAGGUGUGGCCAAUUAGGGCACCUCCAGAGGCAGUGCCCCACCAUGGACUGUUCCUUCGGCAAGUUCUGUGCCAGGGAUGCCCAGGCCCACCAAUCUCCCUGUCCCAAAGUGAUCAUCUCAGUUAGCCUCUGGGGAAGGCAAGUGGAGGCCCUUGUGGAUUUGGGGUGUAGCCUACGAUGGUGCGGGAAAAACCUCGUUCCAGCUGAUCGCUUGACCCACAAGCCCAUCCGACUCUGCUGUGUAUAUGGGGAUGUGAAGGUGUACCCCAGUGCUCAACUGACCCACACAAUUGAGGGAGUAACCUGACAAAUUACAGGGAGUUGUCCUGAACCUCCCCUAUCCCGUCAUCCAUGGGGGAGACUGGCUGGAGUUCAGCCAGGUCCUGCAGGCAGCAUCUCUCCAGACUGGGCCAGAGAGGCUGGGGUUGGAAGGAGACCCAUCGAGGGUGACAAGGAAGAGCAAUCCCCCGGGGACUCUCUAGACCCACCUGAGGGAGGGCCAACCAACCCUCCAGAUGAACCCUGAGUAGCACCCAAGGACAAGGGACCCCUCUGGGGCAUAGAGGGGGACUUCUGUUGAGACCAAAAAGAGGACCUCACCUUAAGCCGGGCCUAUGACCAGGUGGCAUGUGUCAAUGGUGUCACUACAGAUCCACAGAGCAUGACUCAGUGGCCCUGGUUUGAACUUAAGGGUGAGCAUCUCUACUGGGCUUACCAGGACCCUUAUACCCAUGAACCCCACUCACAACUUGUGGUACCCCACUGUCACUGGCAGACCAUGUUGAGGAUGGCCCACGAUAUCCCCGCCGCAGGCCAUCUGGGCCAAGAGAAAACCCUGGCUCAAAUACUAGCCAGAUUUUACUGGCCAGGAGUACACCAGGACGCCAAGAACUUCUGUGCAUCCUGCCCUGAAUGCCAGUGGGCUGCGUCAGCUGGAGUCCCGAAAGCACCCCUGCUCCCUGUGCUGGUGGUGAAGACUUCUUUUGAAAGGAUCACUAUGGAUCUAAUUGGACUCCUCACAAGGAGCACCGCAGGCUUUCAGUACAUCCCCGAGGCCAUCCCCACCCCGAGUAUUGCAGUGGAACUCCCAAAAAUCUUUGCUCGGGUAGGCUUACAAAGGAAAUACUAACUGAUCAGGGAAUGAACUUUACUUCCCGGCUGCUCAGAAGUCACCUGUUAGGGAUCUGGAAGUUGCAAACCUCAGUUUACCAUCUUCAAACCAAUGAAUCAUUCCAUGAGGCCAAUCGGACACUAAAGGGGAUGAUGCAAAAAUUCUCCCCCAGAAGAGUUGUGUCGAUGGGAACAACUCCUCCCACCAUUGCUACUGGCAAUUCGAGAGGUACCACAAGCUUCCACCCAAUUCUCCCCAUUCGAGUUACUGUACGGAUGCCAGCCGCAGGGGCUACUGGACCUCAUGUGGGAGACCUAGGAACAGAGCUCCUCGCCAACCCAGGCUCCUUCAAUACGUAAUGCAAUUGCAUGAACACCUGAGACAGGUCAGUAACCUAACCAAGGAGAACCUGCAGGCUGCCCAGGGAGCCGGAGCCCAAGCCUACAACCGAGGAACCUGAGCCUGAACCUUUGAACCCGGGGAUUACUCCCCUCGGAGGAGUCCAAGCUAUUAGCCCCAUGGCAAGGCCCCUAUGAAGUCCUUCGCCAAGUUGGGCCUGUAGACUACGAGAUACACCAGCCAGGGCAGCAGAAGCAGCGCCAGAUUUACCAUGUCAAUCUCUUAAAGGCCUGGCAUGAUCAGAAGGGUCUGUUGAUAACCCCAGAUCCUGAGCUAGGACCUCAGGCCCCUAUUCCAACGGGGCAAAAGGAGCCUCUCCUUGGCAAAUCUCUCAACCCCAAGCAAAUAGAACAGACCAGAUACUUGCUAAAAGCCUUCCCCGAAACAUUCACGGCUGCCACCAGGCAGACAUGUCCAACACACCAUCUGUACCCCACCUGGGGAAGUAGUACAGGAGACCACCCAACCCCUCCCUCAGUGACUGCAGCAGGCAGUAGAGCAAGAAGUACAAGCCAUGUUGGAAUUAGGGGUCAUAGAACCCUCCCAGAGUGAGUGGUGGAGCCCCAUCAUCUUGGUUCCCAAUCCAAAGAUUCUGUAUUGAUUUUCGGAAAGUUAAUGCUAUUUCUAAGUUUGAUGCAUACCCAAUGCCCCGAAUUGACGAGCUCCUGGACCGAUUGGGUGACGCCGGCUAUAUGACCACCCUGGAUCUUGCAAAAGGAUACUGGCAGAUCCCACUGGAAACUAACUCGAAGGAGAAAACUGCCUUCGCUACACCCAGCGGGCUCUACCAAUUUACCCACAUGCCUUUUGGACUUCAUGGGGGCCCCCCAUGACAUUCCAAUGGUUAAUGGACUACCUUCAACCACACCUCGAAUAUGCUGCAGCCUAUUUGAACAAUGUGGUGAUUUACAAGGUGGGAAGAACACCUACACUGAGUGGCAGCUGUCUUGUGGUCCCUUCGGGCCACAGGUUUGACGGCUAACCCCAAGAAAUGUCGAAUCGGCUUCCAGGAGACCACCUACUUAGGGUAUGUCCUGGGGCGGGAGAAGGUACGGCCUCUAGUUGGGAAGGUCCAGGCAAUCCAAAACUAGCCUGCCCCAACUACAAAGAAGCAAGUAAGGCAGUUCUUGGUAGGCUAUUAUCACCGCUUCAUCACCAACUUCACCUCCAUUGCUGCCCCCUUGACCGAGCUCUUAACAAAGAGCCAGCUGCAAUGCAUCCAUUGGUCCCUGGAGUGCACCCAAACCUUUCAGAUGUUGAAGGAUCACCUCUGCGGUGAGCCAGUUUUAUAUAGCUCGGACUUCUAACAAAAGUUUGUGGUCCAGACUGAUGCUUUAGCCCAUGGGACUUGGGCCUGUCCUCUCCCAGACCUUUGACGCUGAGGAACACCCCAUACUAUACAUCAGCCAGAAACUUUCCCCCCCUGGGAACAGAACUACUCCACCUUUUGAGAGGGAGUCUCUGGCGAUCAAGUGGGCCAUUAAGGCCCUGCAGUACUACCUCCUGGGGAAUAUCUUUGUGGUAGUCUGUGCCCCCCUUAAGUGGCUCCAGAACAUGAAAGACACCAAUGUGAGGCUAACGAGGUGGUACCUCACUCUGCAGCUGUUCACGUUUACCAUUCCAACAUAGGGCGGGUAAGGAGAACGCAAAAGCAGAUGGGCUCUCCCAGUUGGGGGAGGCAGAAAAUGCCAGCCCUGAAGAUUGGGGGCCAGACUUGAGGGGGCAGCGGGGUAGCAAGGAGGUAUGGCCUCCCGUCCUGUCAGAAUGGGAAAGACCCAAAAUCACCCCUGGUGGGCAGAACCAGACCAUCUGUGGCCACUCUGCCGGAAGCAGAGGGGCGGGACAGGAAGUGGGACUAUAAAAGGCCAGCCUCCUAGCUCAGCAGGAAGAGAGCUGCCAGAGGAGCAGGACCUCUCUUCCUUGCUGCUGGAGCCUGGAACUGAAGGAUACGGCUGCCGAACCAGAGGAGUUAUCUGAAUUGCCGGAGACCAGCAACACCAUGGGUGAACUACCAUGGGCUGUUUACCCAGGGGAGGACAACCACGAAACCCAGCUACAGCAGCUGCUUGUCUUGGAGACUUCAAGCUCUAAAAGAUAAAGUUGUUGUACACUGGACCAAACCUGAGACAAUGGAAAGAAUAUUUUAAAAGGUAUUUGAAGCCAUAUUAGGAAUGCCAGACUGGUAUACCUGAAUUUGGGAAGUUUUAACUACUGUCGUGGGUUCUGAUGAUCCUUUGGCAGUUCAUCAAAAUGCUAAUGAACUGCAUGAAGUUCACUGUGUAACCACUGGAGUUAGGGGCUACCGAUCCCUGUCAGCUGAGUGGCAUAUUUACUUUCAGAACCAUGAUCAAGUGACAUCUCUGGGGCCUGGAAACACAGUUUCAGUUACUGCUUGUACUAGUGUUGGCUCUGCUGCAAUUUCCAAAUGCACCUGCCAGCCCUAUUGCAGUCUGGGGCAUUCUCAGGUCAAGAUCACGUGCAGCCAGCUGGCUCCCUGUGGACUUGGCAAAGUCCUUUUGUUGGAUAUGAAAUGUUAUAUUGUUCAUAAUUUAUUAAGUUGCAUGUGUGUAUCAGACCCAAUAAUCAGUUUCUAAGGAUAUUGCAGCAAUCCAAAAAGGAGUCUGAACUGUCAACUUGUGACUCCAUUUUGGGACCCCUCUAUGCACUGUCAACUUGGCCUGGAUGUAACUGGAUUAAACUGGUUUUUUCCCGCCACUGGGCGAUCUCAAGGCCAAACCACCUCAGACUGUUUCCUGCUUUUCCUGGGAUCAUAUCAUGUUUUCCCGCCACAAACUGUAUAAAAGGACUGUAAUCACAGACUGAUGGUGCAGUCCAUCUUAGUGACUGUGCGUCUCGUGUCUUCGUGGCACCAGUGCACCAAUGAAAAAUAUCAUUCAUUCCCGAGGUGAGAAAACAGAAGACUCAUUCCACCUUAUAUGCUCCUGUUUCUGGGAACAACAACCACCAGAGGGUUCUCGGUCUGCUUCUUCCAUCCCAACGGUCAUCGAGGGACUCUCCAGUGCUCCUCCUCUACAGGCUCCAAUUACCCACGGAGUGGAGGUCCUGGACUUCGCUGCCACCACGGAAGUGUUGGGAAUAUAGUGAGAUAUAAUUAGGGUUUUCUUAGUUGGGGUUACAUUUUCAAGUGCCAGGGUGGUUUAUGCUCAUAGGGAGAGCUGCUGUGUUACUGGGUUUGUGUUGUUUGUAGAGUUAUUGCUUGUUUUCAUUUAUCCCUUUCCCUCAGCUGUAGUUUCUCUCUCUCAAUACACUUACUUGUUGUUUGCCCCUUA
This is a long non-coding RNA of Chelonia mydas (Green sea turtle), 4886 nucleotides long. RefSeq lists it as uncharacterized. The transcript has 2 exons. The record is from RefSeq and is a predicted model, not a curated record. Lineage: Eukaryota; Metazoa; Chordata; Testudines; Cheloniidae.